RNAcentral lists this unclassified non-coding RNA (242 nucleotides) under Hevea brasiliensis (rubber tree). Lineage: Eukaryota; Viridiplantae; Streptophyta; Magnoliopsida; Malpighiales; Euphorbiaceae. The record is from RNAcentral.
GGAAUGGUGUAAAACUGUUGGGCCCCUAGAUAUGGACCAUCUGGUCCUAUCAUAGCACCAUGUAUGUAAGGAUUAUACGGGUUGUAUUGAGACUGUGCAUAUCCAUAGCUUGGCGUAUAAUAUACAUAAGAUGAAUUCUCAUUUUGAGCACCUGCGUAUUGGAUAUCUGGACCAUCUAAACCAAAAAUCCGAGAAUGGUCCUCCCAUUCGCCAGGUGAUUCAAAUCCUGUACAGUAAUAACC